UGUGUGAGUCGCGACCAGGAAGGAAGAACAAGGGGGAAACCCUAACUACAUCAAUUAACAUCAAAAUUCAGCAAGUUUGUGAAGGAUUAGAGUCAAUAAUCGAAUGCUAGUGCCUAAAUACUCUCUAAUCCAAGUGUUUUGACCAUAAGGAACGAAAGAAGAAGGAGCUAGUUCCGGAUCACAAACAAAGGCUCAAGAUCGAGGUAAAGCACCCGUAUGAUUGUCACUGCGACGCUCGGAUACGAACACACCUUGAUCACCCGUGAUGCGCUUCCGCAACUUUUGUAGUAACCUUAUUAGUCAAAGGCUUUUGUUAAAGUUAGUUGUGUUUGAAGUUUUAAACUUUAACUAGAUGUUUAUAAGUACUUAAGUACCUGAACUUGAUGUUUGGAAUCGGUAGUUUAAAUGUUAAGAUCUUCUUUACGUUUUUGAAGGUGUCGUUAUUUGAGUC
Helianthus annuus (common sunflower) is the source of this 451-nucleotide long non-coding RNA. RefSeq lists it as uncharacterized. The transcript is spliced from 3 exons. The record is from RefSeq and is a predicted model, not a curated record. Lineage: Eukaryota; Viridiplantae; Streptophyta; Magnoliopsida; Asterales; Asteraceae.